This 245-nucleotide long non-coding RNA is filed under the name Mytilus galloprovincialis (Mediterranean mussel). Lineage: Eukaryota; Metazoa; Mollusca; Bivalvia; Mytilida; Mytilidae. The record is from RNAcentral.
UUUGAAUUUUGAAACUUAUAGGUGUCAGUCGAUCCCGGUCUGCCUCUACAUCGGCAACAACGCCCGGACUGCCUUUACAGCGGCAGUAAUGCCAUGUACCAUCCAAGGCAUUGUCCACGACUAGUUCCCCACAAAAUGUAAGAUUCCAGACUCAGCUCUCACAGAUGUAGUUCGUCUGUCGAGAGGCCGAGGGCAAGCAGACCAUGUUUCAGAACUCGAAUAAUCAACAUCUUUUUGUUAUAAUA